RNAcentral lists this unclassified non-coding RNA (240 nucleotides) under soil metagenome. RNAcentral describes it as "partial contains 5.8S ribosomal RNA, internal transcribed spacer 2, and large subunit ribosomal RNA". The record is from RNAcentral.
AAGACUAUAGACCUGCGGAGUACCUGCGGAAGGAUCAUUACUGAGUUAGGGUCUUCCAGGCCCGACCUCCAACCCUUUGCCUACCUUACCUCUUGUUGCUUCGGCCGGCCCGUCCCCCCUAGAAAUAGGGGUCGACCGCCGGAGGGCUCACACCCUCUGGUCCGCGCCCGCCGAUGGCCCUCAAACCAAAACUCUUGUUCAAUCGUGAAUUGUCUGAGUAUACAAAACAAAAUAAACCAA